This 388-nucleotide ribosomal RNA is filed under the name uncultured bacterium. Its description in RNAcentral is "bacterial SSU rRNA". It matches the Rfam family "Bacterial small subunit ribosomal RNA", at positions 28 to 416 of the family's 1533-position model. The record is from RNAcentral.
GACGAACGCUGGCGGCGUGCUUAACACAUGCAAGUCGAACGGUGAAGGGAAGCUUGCUUCCCGGAUCAGUGGCGAACGGGUGAGUAACACGUGGGCAAUCUGCCCCAGACUUUGGGAUAACUACUCGAAAGAGUAGCUAAUACCGAAUAUUCAGCCUUGCAGGCAUCUGCGAGGCUGGAAAGUUUCUCGGUCUGGGAUGAGCCCGCGGCCUAUCAGCUAGUUGGUGAGGUAAUGGCUCACCAAGGCGACGACGGGUAGCCGGCCUGAGAGGGCGACCGGCCACACUGGGACUGAGACACGGCCCAGACUCCUACGGGAGGCAGCAGUGGGGAAUAUUGCGCAAUGGGCGAAAGCCUGACGCAGCAACGCCGCGUGCGGGAUGAAGGCC